This is a non-coding RNA of Gossypium hirsutum (cotton), 73 nucleotides long. The record is from Rfam. Lineage: Eukaryota; Viridiplantae; Streptophyta; Magnoliopsida; Malvales; Malvaceae.
UCCCUGGCGGUCCAGUGGUUAGGACUCCGCGCUCUCACUGCUGAGGGCCCGGGUUCAAUCCCUGGUCGGGGAA